UUUUUUUUUUUUUUUUUUUUUUUAGGAUCACUAAGGCUAUUUUAAAAAAGCUUGAACUAUUUUGGUUUGUUAGGGUUGUAUUCCUUAGAGUGAAUGGAUCUAUUUCUUUUGAGAUUUCUGGCAAUAAAUUAGCAUAUGGGAGUCAGUCAUAUUCUCCUUUAUUGUUUUAAUUACUAGAACUGAACAAUUGCCUAAAAUACCAAAGAGAAUUCACCUCCAGUGGCUUCAAGGAAACUAUACAUCAUAUAUCAAGCAAAACCAGGAAAUCAGAUAGGAUAUCAAUUAUCAAUAUUAAAAUGCACCAGUAACCAGCCAGAACUAAUAUUAAUCAUAUUCAGUCAUGUGCUUAGUUUAUGGUUAGAAGAACAAGCUAAUGAAAGUCUCUUGAGAGGAAAAGGGAAAGAGUAUAAAAAAUAUUUGAAGUGGAGAAGAAUGACAUAUGUGAGUAAUAAGAGAGGCAAGAAAUUAGAGAUGGGAGGACUGGUAAGGCAAUUUUAAAAGGGAAGAAGGAAGAUAGCAGCCCAGGUUAAGCUUCAAAUGAGCAGGUUCAGGAAAACAAGAUUCUUCAAAAUAAUGUAUUUCAUUGCAUUUUGGCUUAAAAUAUUUUCCCUAAUUGUAUUUUUUGCACACUUCCUACACUUUUGGUCUCUUCCUGGAGAGCUACAUGCUACCAGGAACUGAGACUUUUGCCAGAGUACAGUACUCAUUCUCUUUUAAUUCCAGAUGAGUCUGCCCUGGCCAAGAGCUUUGUGUGUCAAGAGCCUUGUCUCUCUCAUUCAUUGCUGGAUCCCUGAGAACCAUGCUUAGCUCACAGCAUUUUUCAUGAAUUCUGAGAUGCACUUUCCCCCCUAACAUUUUAAUAUCUCAGAAAUGGGAGUCAUAUAUUACAAUUGAUGACCUGUCAUUGUUUAAUUGCCAGUGGCUUUUUUUUUUCCUGGUGGUAUUAAAAUAAAGGCAUUGUAACAACCAAUGGUGAUAUAGAUUCAAUGAACCAUGGAGGUGGACGCUUAAGAAUUAUUUGAUGAAUGAAUAUAUGCAAUAACAUAUCUCCCUGGUUCUAGUUCAGGUAAAAAUGAAAUGCUUAUGAGUUGGUUCUGGAUUGUAUUUCUGCCGCCAGUGAGGCAGGGUAGAGGUUGGCCUCUGGCUAUCUUGGCUGAGCAUUUUAAUGCUGUUCACUUUUCCUUGAGUGGAGCUGAUAGAUGGCUUGUUCAUUCUUGCAAGUGAAAUGUUAAAUCAAUUAAGACAUACCCCAGAUAAGCUGAGUUUAAAAUAAGAAACUUUACUUUUGCCUUGAUUUUCCAGAAAAUUGCUUUUUGUUCUAUUUUGGAUUGCAUGUCCAUCAAUAUUUCUCUUGUAAAUUCAUGGAGAUACAUAGGUAGAUGAGCAAUAAUCUCUUUCUCUGUCUCUCUCAAUAAAACAAGCUAUAGAUUUCAUUAGGAUAAAGUAUGUUUCUAUAGAUUAGGAUGCCCUUAUCCAUCACCACCACCACCACCACCACCAUCUCUUAGAGAGCUUCCCAACCUACAGAAGAGACAAAGUAUAUGUAGGUAUAUUAUCCAUACUUUAGAAUUUCAUAAUCCACAUUCAGUAUAUCAAAUUGCAUAGAAGUUAUGCCUCAGACUUAACCAUGUGAAGUACUCUGCUGUUUUUUGGUGUUCUGAUCUCAUUUUAGUUUGGUUUCCUUUGAAUGGAAAAUUUGAACCUGAUUUUGAUAUUGGAGCAGGAUGUGCUGCUAUUUGUUUCUCUGUGUGAACAGGGAGGGGAAAAGAAACACGUGAACAUUUUUAAAUGGCAAAACCAGAGAUGGGAAGGGAGGCAAUAUUGAACGUGUGCUAGGAUAAGGCUUUCAUAUAAAAAGUGUUCAGAUAUUAAGAUAUGUGAAAUAUUUGGGGCCCUUCAUUAGAUAGCUAUUUCAAUCAGUGAUGCUUUUAAGUUCCAAAUUGUCUGGUAAUUAUGUAAAGAUGCUCCAGUGAAACACCAUUUUUGGCUUAGGGAAAUAUUUAUAUACUUACCAGAUAGUAAGUAUAUAAUUAUGAAUAUGAUAGUAAGUAUAUGAAUUUUGAAAAUAUGCAAUGUUAUUACAUAGCUACCAUAUAAAAUACAAUAUAUGAGGGCAGAUUUACAUAUCCCAUGUAGAAAUGUGGGUAUUUAUAUAUAGGAAAAGGAAAAUAAACAAGCAUUACUGAAGUAUUUAUGAGUUUAUGGCAUUUAACUCAUCUCAAACAUUUAUGCAGUGUUUUUUCUAUACUAAUUUAAUGUUUAUAUAUGAAUGCAUAAAAAUAAAUAACAUGGAAAAAUUAA
Molecule: long non-coding RNA, 2301 nt
Filed under: Homo sapiens (human)
Lineage: Eukaryota; Metazoa; Chordata; Mammalia; Primates; Hominidae
Description: novel transcript, sense intronic to SOBP
Source: RNAcentral